This is a long non-coding RNA of Pseudopipra pipra, 4475 nucleotides long. RefSeq lists it as uncharacterized. Lineage: Eukaryota; Metazoa; Chordata; Aves; Passeriformes; Pipridae. The transcript has 5 exons. The record is from RefSeq and is a predicted model, not a curated record.
CUGGACAUGAAAGACAAAAUUAUGUUUCAUGUUUUGCAAGGCUUUCCCAGUCUCUUCUGCUUUCUUUUUGCUAUGACCCCUUUACUGAGUGGCUGAAGGGUCUGCUUCCAUUCCCACCAUCCAAUGACUGCUUUAGCUCAGGAAUACUCAGCCUUUCCCAUAUCACAAAUGUCUUUUCACAUGUCCAUCCUCCCAGACCUGCAGGUACUCUCUGCCUUUUGCGAACAGGAUGUUUAGGGCACAUUUUUCACCUUUGUGGCUUCUCUGCUCUGUCUGUGGGGCAGGCAGUUACAGUGAGGCUUGGCCUAUGGCUCUUUAAAAAUGUAGAUUCUUUCCUCGACUUCCAACAAUGUAUUUCUUAUGCUCUGCCGGUAGGAGACCUCAGAGCAGACUGGUUGGGUUUUGUUCUGAAACUGUCACUGAGCUUGGGUAUAAGACAGGCUGAAAUGCUUUGCUGAAAGCAUUUUCAUGGUGGGAAUGCAGGAAUUUUAAUCCUUCCUGUUGCUGUUUCUUGUCUUGCUGCUCUGCGUGACUUGUUUUCAUAGUUUGUUUACUGCACCAUGCUAGAGAAGGAAAGAAACAAAAUGGUUGUUUCUGUGAGAAGUGCAACAGUUGGGAGGUGGUCAGCAAGCAAGGAACAGUCUACAUGGUCAAAACAAAAAACUUUUUUGAAAAAUGAUAGCAAAGAUCGGUUUUGCACAGAGAAGCCAUAACUUCAAAAAAAUUUUCAAUGAGUCAUUGUCCCAUUCUUACACAGGGAUCUGAUAUUCACGCAUAAAGACAGAAAUUUAAAGAAUAUCAGACUGUUCCCAAAAACAAACACAUAGGAGAAAAGAACAGCUUGCCCCCUCCACCUUUCACAAACAAAUGCCUAAAUCUUGUACCUAAGCUUCUGCUUGAAGAUAAAGGCCAGUCUGGGAGCUAAACCAAAGCAAACUUCCUCCUGCUGAAAAGGUAGGUAUGUUUAUUGGAUUGCCUCAAAAACAAAUUAAAAAAAAAAACUUUAAAAAAAAAAGGGAGGAAGAGGAAGCCUCAUGUCUUAGCUUCAAGUUGCCAUCAGGUUGCUGUCAGGGAUCAACAUUAUAAAUUAGCAUGGCAAACAUUAGCCUUGUCUCUUUGCUUGCAGCAGAAAUGCUGCCCUGUCUGUCUUUUCCUUUUUUGUCUCAUUGGGAAGUUUGCCUUAUCUGUAGCUCUCACGUUCCUGUAGCAAAUCUCAGACAAGUGGAUGGUGGGGCCGUUUGUUUGAUUGACCCAACACCUUCAGGCUCCUACCAGCAGCCAUUUUAAGCUGCCUUCAGGGAAUAAGUUGAUUAAAAAAGAGAAGAGGCGAAAAAAAAGGAAAUCAGAGGAAACCAGACUAACUUUAUUGGAAGUAUUGAGUGGGCUCUAUGAUAUAUAUGGAGUAGACAAAGACUCAGAUUUCCUUGUUUCGGCAAAGGUAAUCUAACAUCUACUCCGUUUACCCCCCCUCCAAGGAUGCUGAAGAAGGGUUAAUUUGAAUGGUUAUUAGGAACUUUAGUAUUGUUUAGCUACUAAGUUUCAAGCUCUUCUCAACCCUGUAUUUGCACUUGAGAGGGAGUAAAUAGGGUAUUUCCAAGAUAAGAUGACUUGCCUGAGGUCAUGUUGUUAACUUUGGAGGGUAGGGAUUGGGCAUAGAAACUGUAAGCUUUGGCUGGCUCCGGAUCUGUGCACUAGCCCCCACUUCAGAGCAUGAGUUUAAAUUAUGGAGCAUCUGACGUUGAUGAACAUUGUAGGUUAAUGUCUAAGACAGGAUAUUAUGUUUUAUUUAUAGGUAUUGCUUAGUGGAAAUGGUAGUACGGUUAUUUGUUAACCACGCCUGUCUGGAAGCCGUAUGAAAGCUGAAUAAAACCAAGUGUUUGCUGUCUCUGCCCUUCUGCCCCAACUGUUUUAUUUCUCUUUCUGUAAGUCCCGAGACUAGCACAUUCAAAAUGCAAAUGCUCUUUGAUAGGAGCUUCUGUGACUUUGUUGCAUUGUCUGUGCAGCUCUUGGUUUCAGGGGACCUUCACACAGACAAAUUGAUCAGCAGCAGGAGGAGGAAAAUAGCCGUUGCCGCAGCAACCAGUGAUGACUCAGCCCGGGUAGCAGGCAGCGAAAGCCGUGAGGCUGCAGUAAUUUUCCAGAUGCUUAAUCCAGCUCUUGGUUCUUUAUUUCUCUUGCUGACAGGCUGAAGUCCUCCUCUGCCUUUCUUUGCUCGGAGACCCACGCAGCCUGCAGCCGUACGUGAUGCAGAGGAAGGCCAGCUCACUUGGGGAGGAAUGUACUCCUGAAAUUGAGGAGCCAAGAGAAACCACACAUAAGGAUCAGCUGCUGCUUUUAUAUUUGCCAGAGAGCCCUCUGUGGAGAAAACUGGAAGAGGACGGGAUCAAAUACCCAAGGUUGGCCUUGGGAAAAUUAGAAUAUACUACAGUUGUACCUUCCAAAUCAAGAGUCAAGUUCUCCUAUGCAUGAACUCAGGCAGAAACCAGCUAACCAGAAAGAGGCCCACAUGUCAACCAGAAAGAGGCCCACAUGUCAUCAUAGAAAAAAGAUGUAACAAGACAGUUCUGCUCCUGGCACUUCUUUUGGAUGAUCCCAAGCAAGUUCCUUCUCUCUCUUGAAUGGCUUCUUUACAAUGGAAAAUGGAGGGAAAAGUCAUCUAGGUGAACUAGAAGCACGCAUUUCAAAUAGACCAGAUGAACUGGGUCCUGGCCCAUGGAUAACACGAGACACAGCAUUCAAGGGCAGGCUGUCUGGUGAGUAGGUUUGAUGCUUGGGUGACACCACCACGCACCUAUACAUAAUUCCCAAACUGCUGCCCUGUGUAGAGUAGUAUAACUGGGCUGUAAAUUGUACCCAGGGCAUUAGUGUUUCAGUUCCCCAGUGGCCAGUGCAGAUUGGGCAUCCCAGCAGCUGAGAAAAACAGACUAGUUGGUGAGAGCAGCAACUGUGCUGAGGUCUGGGAAGUUAAAAAUGGGUAUUUUUUCCUUCAGCAGUGCUCAUCUAUUUAUUGGCUUGAUUGUAAUCACAGCUGCCUUAACUUGUAACUAAUACUGUCCUCCCUGCAGCGUAGAUGAUGAUCACUUGUGUAUCAGAUACUGCUGUCUAUGUUUGCUUUUGUUAUCACCCACCAUCAGCAGGUCUCUUUGAAAGACCAGCUCUGACCAGACACCAAGGAGAAAAGAGGGAUUCCAGUUAUCCUCUUCCCUGUGGCUGACCAGUUCUUUCCCAUCACACAAACAUCACUGAGAGCUGAUUCUCCUAAUGCAGGAUGCAAAUCCAUGUGGCACACCUGGUUCCCUUUGAUCAUGUAUAAUUUAUCACGGAGCAUUCAGCAAAGCAGACACUCCCAAUUAAAUACAGCCUUCUAGGCACAUGACCUCUCUGUGCCUCUAACCUCCAUGGCUUUGAGAAAUCUGGUCUUAUGCCUGAAGCUAAGGAGGCCAUGCUCAGCCACUGCCAUGAAUGGUAGUGUGACCUUGAGGGUAUCUGGCCUAUCCAGACCCAGUGUGGAUGCAGUAAGUUAAGGCUGACAGCCUAAAAAAGUAGGUCUCAGUUGCUUCAGGGGCUGGUUCUGGUCUGUAGCCAUGGAUCACUUGGAGAAGGGGACCACAAUAUGACUUGUCCCCUGACUACUAGUUUUAAUGGCAUAGGGAGGGUAGGAGACAAUGGUGGCCACUUCUUGAGAGCUGAGAAGAGCAUGCUUGAGUUGGCUGGGUGGUAGGGUGGUGGUCAGUUCCAGGCUAGGUCAUUCUUGCAGGUAAUCUCCAGAACAUGCACCUGAUAGGUGGUCCCAAGGAAUGGCCCAUCUUACACGCAUUCAGCCCAAUUCCCAGAUCUCAAAAAAAAGGAGGAUGGAGUUAGAGUAUCAGGAGCUUAAGGGCAAGAAAAUGUGGAAUACAAUGUUGCAAUCCAAUAGGAAAUUCAGAGGUAAAACCAAUAUGCUUGGACUUCCAGAUGUAAUUUAACUGUCCUGUAAUGGUACCAUGGGAUCAAGGCACAGUAGUUAAUUGUGAUCGCAGAGGUGUCCCUGCAGAGAAACCCCAAGCCCCUGCGGGCUGGGCCGAGGGUGCGGCGUGGCGUUUGUGCAGCGCCCUGAAGGUCACCCCGCAAGGGCGGCUGCGGCUGCCGCGUGUGUGAGUCGUGUCCCCCCCACCGGGGACAGGGGACGGGGAGGUCCCGCCGUCCCCGGGGAGCCCCUGCCCGGCCGCCCCUCCCGGCAGGUGCUCCCAGCGCACGGGCGGCGGAGCGGGGCCGGGAGGGGAGCGCUGUUUGCGCUCGAUAUUCCGCAGCCGCGCUACACGUGAGCCCGGCGGAGCGUGGCGGGGCCGGCGGCUCGUGCGGGGCCGCCAGGAGCAGGAGCAGGAGGAGGGGAGGGAGUGAGGCGAUGCUCAGCAGCGCCCGGCCGAUCAGCUCUGUCGCGCGGAGCCGGGACCCGCUGGGAGCGGGAGGGGCGGGAACGCCGGGAACAGGCGGGC